RNAcentral lists this small RNA (589 nucleotides) under Pongo abelii (Sumatran orangutan). Its description in RNAcentral is "processed transcript". Lineage: Eukaryota; Metazoa; Chordata; Mammalia; Primates; Hominidae. The record is from RNAcentral.
UUGGGCGGCUGCGGUCUGCGCGGACCCCCGCGCCUAGGCACUCCUGUGCCGCCAGUGCGCGGGGCCGGCCUCGCUCAGGCGUGUUCCUGCGCCGACCGGACGGCCGGACUCCAGCGCCUUGGCCCGGCCCGCGAACUCUGAGCACUCGCGGAAAUCCUUUAAAGGAAGUGAAAUCAAAUGGAUGUUGGUGAGUACCGCACGGCAACCAUUGCUUCAUUUCAUGGUUCAGAGUGAACUCUAAUCUGGAAGCCUUCCUUAGGUCAUUCCUGCUUCUGGGAUCCAACUCUAUGUUGUGCUUAAGAAAUGUGUCACAUCAGACAGAGUGAAUCACAAGACAGAGAUAUUUACCUAUCACAUACAUAUUUUAUUAGAUUUCAAGAUGACCAUAUAUACUUGGACAUAUCUGGACUUCAAAUUUGCUGGAACUUAGUUGCAUCCCGAGCUGGCUAAUACCUAGAGAUUCAUCAUUUCUGUUUGGAGAAAUGAAGAGGAACAGUUUAUCUGUUGAGAAUAAAAUUGUCCAGUUGUCAGGAGCAGCGAAACAGCCAAAAGUUGGGUUCUACUCUUCUCUCAACCAGACUCAUACGUA